This 270-nucleotide ribosomal RNA is filed under the name uncultured bacterium. RNAcentral describes it as "partial 16S ribosomal RNA". It matches the Rfam family "Bacterial small subunit ribosomal RNA", at positions 8 to 275 of the family's 1533-position model. The record is from RNAcentral.
AGAGUUUGAUCCUGGCUCAGGACGAACGCUGGCGGCGUGCCUAACACAUGCAAUUCGAACGGAGAUAUUUAUUUCGGUAGAUAUCUUAGUGGCGCACGGGUGAGUAACGCGUGAAUAACCUGACCCGAAGAGGGGGAUAACACCUGGAAACAAGUGCUAAUACCGCAUAAGACCACGGACCGGCAUCGGUCAGAGGUCAAAGGAGGAAUCCGCUUUGGGAGGGGUUCGCGUCCCAUUAGGUAGUUGGUGAGGUAACGGCCCACCAAGCCG